RNAcentral lists this ribosomal RNA (276 nucleotides) under uncultured Oscillospiraceae bacterium. RNAcentral describes it as "partial 16S ribosomal RNA". It matches the Rfam family "Bacterial small subunit ribosomal RNA", at positions 355 to 645 of the family's 1533-position model. The record is from RNAcentral. Lineage: Bacteria; Bacillati; Bacillota; Clostridia; Eubacteriales; Oscillospiraceae.
UGGGGAAUAUUGGGCAAUGGGCGAAAGCCUGACCCAGCGACGCCGCGUGAGGGAAGAAGGUCUUCGGAUUGUAAACCUCUGUUGACAGGGAAGAAGAAAGUGACGGUACCUGUCGAGGAAGUCACGGCUAACUACGUGCCAGCAGCCGCGGUAAUACGUAGGUGGCAAGCGUUAUCCGGAUUUACUGGGUGUAAAGGGUGUGUAGGCGGGACGACAAGUCAGAUGUGAAACUCAUGGGCUCAACCCAUGACCUGCAUUUGAAACUGCCGUUCUUGA